This 1243-nucleotide long non-coding RNA is filed under the name Androctonus crassicauda. The record is from RNAcentral. Lineage: Eukaryota; Metazoa; Arthropoda; Arachnida; Scorpiones; Buthidae.
GCCAAUUCCAACCACCGGCCACACCCACGCCCGAUGGUGAAGGAGGCGGAUGGCCGGACCAGCCAGCAUCCCGAAAAACUUUUCAGGAUGCCGGACCCGGGACCCGCUGCCUGGCAGGGCGAGGCCUUACCGCUGGCCCAUCCGGCCGCAAUUAAUAUUCCGGGUCAAAUCGGCUGGUGUCAAAAACACGACGAUAAAAGACCGGUUUUAUCGGUCGAUAGCACGAAUAGCCAUGGUGCUGGCCACGGCGCCGCGCGGACUGUGGACUUUAUGGGUAGUAACUGUGCGGAAACUCUAACGGCGUUGUAUCCGUAACCGAAGGAAAAUGUGGCUGGGCCGACCACCGACAAAUCGGCUCUGUGUCUGAUAUAUAAGAAAAAAGCGUGGCGAUUUUUUUAAGAACGGAAAGUGUUUGGUGGCGAAGCGAAACUAACGGGCGCCAUUUUAAGGCCGGAUUUAUGGGGAGCCCGCCUCCGUUAAUCCCGAGGCCGGAAUAGGGGUCCAUUUCGGAAACAAACAAAUAGUGGAAAGAGGUAAUUAUUGAAUAAGGAAUUUAAAAGUGGAGAGGGUGGAAGGGAGUUUCACAAUUGCUCUUCCGCCGCGAGGCGCGUGCUCUUCCGCCUUAACCGUAGGAGAAAACAUUUUCGGAAUAAAUAAUGAUCGGCCUUUAUUCGAUUUUUUCUCUAUAUACAGUCGUCUUAAUUGAAAGAUAGGAAACGUAACUUGCGGGGGAGCGUUUCACUUUAACUAAUAAAAUAGGCAUCGAGUAGAUUUUUCCCUCUUCCGACAGAGGCGGGCGUUAACUGCGUUUAGUAUAAAAACCGUUUUAAAAAACGACACUUAAAAAAAAAAAAAGACCAGCGUAAAAAUUUGUUUCGGCAGUUAUAAAUCUAGAGAAUGUUUAGAACCAGUGACGCUUUUUCCCACCGCCACCCGGGGCAGAAUGGAGUAGAGACUUUACGGGGCACACCCGGUCGACCGUCCAGGCUGGAAUACCGGGCGUCAGAAAAUCUGGAAUUACGGUCGGGAAUAUUUUCCUCCAGCGGAAAGUCGGAAGAGAGAUUUUUAAAUAGUCGACUACCGUGGAUGAGUCGACUAAGGCCGUUAUAUUUUGGGAAAAGAUUUUAGACGGAAAACUGGCAUUUUGAUCACUGGCGGAGAUUAAAUAGGCCACCACUACCUCCCGUUAUAAUUUGAUUGAAGGCGGACUAAAGAACCGAUACCUGGGCUGGCCGGAGGCCGA